AUAGCAAAGUCAAAGGACUUCUCCAAAGUCACACAAGAAGAAAAUGUUGAAACAAAAAUUUGAACUGAAGUGUGUCUGACUGCAAAGCCUGAACUCUCCUGGGUCCCUUAAAAAAAGAGAAUUUAGGGGUCGGCCCGUGGCCGAGUCGUUAAGUUCACGUGCUCCGCUUCAGCAGCCCAGGGUUUCACUGGUUCGGAUCCUGGGCACAGACACAGCACCGCUCAUCACGCCAUGCUGAGGCAGCGUCCCACACGCCACAACCAGAAGGACCCACAACUAGAAUAUACAACUAUGUACUGGGGGGCUCUGGGGAGAAGAAGAAAAAACAAAGAUUGGCAACAGACGUUAGCUCAGGUGCCAAUCUUUAAAGAAAAAUGAAUUUAAAUGUGUGUGUGUGUGUUUACACAUGGGGAGGGGUUUAUAGAUUGCAUUCCCUCUUGGUUGCUUCCUCAUAACCUUGUGGCAAACACUCCCCAAAGAAGCAGUAAGUGAGACGCUGCUGCCUCUGACCAGGAGCACUAAUGGUCAGACCAGGUAGACCAGGCGACUAGCGCAGGGCCAUGGGCGAGCAGGGUCUGGGCUUCUGUGGGUGAGCCAGAUAAGGAGCUCUCACAAAGUGUGUGCAGCACAAGGACAAGCCCUAGCGAAGGAGGACACCCACUUCCUUUAUUAAGCCAUUAAAGUAUAAUUACAUCCAGCAUGUAACUACAGAAGAAAGUGCUGUCCCUCCAUGUGAUUCUAGCUCUUGACAGUGAUGAAAUUUUCAACCUGUGCGCAAUUAUUUAAAUAUUCAGGACUUCACAUGCAUGACUGGAUCAGCGCCGUAAUCAGAAUCACCGGAACGUGGCAUCUCAGAACGCAGCAGACCUUAGAGGCCUAGAACGGAGCUGGGAGAGCUGGAACCUUGCUGCUGGGUCACUAUUUGAUCUGACGCAAUCCUCUUACAACUGAAUGCAAACACAGGCUUGCCAAAUAGAUGUCCAAAUGACGGGUUACACAGCUAUGAUUCUCUUCUCAAGGAUGUAUAAAAUACCCCAAAGAUGGACUCAUAUAACCGUGGAACCACAGCACACUUAAUUUUUACAAAACACGUAUUGAUGGAACCAAUAAUGCUUAAGUUUUACAAAAUCUUAGCUAUCUGGAGUAUGUAACAAAAUAUAAACAGCUUAUAUGUCUUUUCAUUUCACAAAAGCCUAUGUCUUCAUAUCUUUAUAAAUUGUUCCUUCCCAUUUCUCUAUAUUUCUGUUCUUGCAACUUCUUGUUUAUGUGUAUUAGACAGAAUGCUGGUUGAAAUUCAACAGAUAUAACCAUGGCAGAGAAGAGGAGGAAAAAGAAAGCUGAUCAUUUCUCAAUGUUUCUUAGCUUAUAUACUCACAAAAUUUUCACUGGUGGGAUUGUAUGUAUGUUCAAAAAUAGACACGUGGACUUGUUAAUUAAGUUAAUAGAGACAAGAAUGCUGAUUUAUUUCAGUAGAUGUGCACCAACUCGGCCUUAAAAGAUGGCACAAAGAUUUUUUAAAAUAAUACACUGCAUUGUUCAGCGUGUGGUCAAAUGGUCAUACUCAUAAAUUGCUAAUGGAUUUAUAUAAUGUUGUUGGCAUACCCACAACAACAUACUAUUACUGAAGUGACAUUAAUCAAAGAAGACCUGUUGUAAGAUGUCUCCAAAGAAGGUUAUGGCCAGGUCUCAAAGAAGGUUAUGGACUUGUGGGAGG
Molecule: long non-coding RNA, 1714 nt
Filed under: Equus caballus (horse)
Lineage: Eukaryota; Metazoa; Chordata; Mammalia; Perissodactyla; Equidae
Description: lncRNA (ENSECAG00000057447.1)
Source: RNAcentral